CAUACCCAUUGGAAUAAAUAUAACGCUUCUUGAAAUUUAGCAUCUCUUCCUCUUUGAGUGCUUUCUAUUUCCCUUUAAGAUGUUUAAAAAUACCAUUAGAAUCAGUGGUCUUUCUGUGGCUAGUGGUGGGACCGAAUCAAUCUUUUCUCCUCUGGUUUCUCUUCCUUUAAAUACAGAUAAAGAAGAAGUGCAGAGGAAACGUCAGAAGCUCAUGCCCAAUUUUUCGGAUAGUUUCGGCGGUGGUAGUGGUGCCGGAGCUGGAGGCGGAGGCAUGUUUGGUAGUGGCGGUGGAGGAGGGGGCACUGGAAGUACAGGUCCAGGGUAUAGCUUCCCGCACUAUGGAUUUCCUACUUAUGGUGGGAUUACUUUCCAUCCUGGAACUACUAAAUCUAAUGCUGGGAUGAAGCAUGGAACCAUGGACACUGAAUCUAAAAAGGACCCUGAAGGUUGUGACAAAAGUGAUGACAAAAACACUGUAAACCUCUUUGGGAAAGUUAUUGAAACCACAGAGCAAGAUCAGGAGCCCAGCGAGGCCACCGUUGGGAAUGGUGAGGUCACUCUAACGUAUGCAACAGGAACA
Molecule: small RNA, 580 nt
Filed under: Pan troglodytes (chimpanzee)
Lineage: Eukaryota; Metazoa; Chordata; Mammalia; Primates; Hominidae
Description: retained intron
Source: RNAcentral